Molecule: long non-coding RNA, 324 nt
Filed under: Elaeis guineensis (African oil palm)
Lineage: Eukaryota; Viridiplantae; Streptophyta; Magnoliopsida; Arecales; Arecaceae
Description: long non-coding RNA (EGUI_LNC066780)
Source: RNAcentral
GACUAUAAUGUAAGCCAACAUGCUAUCUGUUGGGAUGCAUAGGGGUUUCAUUCAUGCAUUUUAAAAAUUUUACAGUGCAAGAAUAUUAGAUUAAACUAUUUAAUCUAUAAAUACAUGCAUAAUAUCUAAUCUUAAAAUUCUUAUAAAUGGAUUAUGACAUGAAUUUACAUGCAUAAAAAUCUGAAUUUAAAACAACAAACAUGUGAACAAAAAAUCAGCACACUAUGAUAGAUCUAAUCUACCACAGUGAGAGUUCUGAACCCAAUACUUGUGCAUGGAUAGUCAAACUUGAUAAUCGAGAAUGUAGAUCUAGAAGUCCUCUCU